RNAcentral lists this ribosomal RNA (1121 nucleotides) under uncultured archaeon. RNAcentral's name for it is "bacterial SSU rRNA". It matches the Rfam family "Archaeal small subunit ribosomal RNA", at positions 326 to 1451 of the family's 1478-position model. The record is from RNAcentral.
CGGGGCGCAGCAGGCGCGAACACUGUGCAAUGCGCGAAAGCGCGACACGGGGAGCUUGAGUGUCUUGGCAUAGCCAAGACUUUUCUCAUUCCUAAAAAGCAUGAGGAAUAAGUGCUGGGUAAGACGGGUGCCAGCCGCCGCGGUAACACCCGCAGCACGAGUAGUGGUCACUUUUAUUGAGCCUAAAGCGUUCGUAGCCGGUAUUGUAAAUCUUCAGAUAAAGCCUGAAGCUUAACUCCAGAAAGUCUGAAGAGACUGCAAGACUUGAGAUCGGGUGAGGUUAAACGUACUUUCAGGGUAGGGGUAAAAUCCUGUAAUCCCGGAAGGACGACCAGUGGCGAAAGCGUUUAACUAGAACGAAUCUGACGGUAAGGAACGAAGGCUAGGGUAGCAAACCGGAUUAGAUACCCGGGUAGUCCUAGCUGUAAACAUUGCCCAUUUGAUGUUGCUUUUCCGUUGAGGGAAGGCAGUGUCGGAGCGAAGGUGUUAAAUGGGCCGCUUGGGAAGUAUGGUCGCAAGACUGAAACUUAAAGGAAUUGGCGGGGGAGCACCGCAACGGGAGGAAUGUGCGGUUUAAUUGGAUUCGACGCCGGAAAACUCACCGGGAACGACCUGUGCAUGAGAGUCAACCUGACGAGCUUACUCGAUAGCAGGAGAGGUGGAGCAUGGCCGUCGUCAGCUCGUGCCGUAGGGCGUUCACUUAAGUGUGAUAACGAGCGCAACCCACAUCUUUAAUUGCAAAUGUAUAUGAGAAUAUGCAUGCACUUUAGAGAAACCGCCAGCGCUAAGCUGGAGGAAGGAGUGGUCGACGGCAGGUCAGUACGCCCCGGAUUUCCCGGGCUACACGCGCAUUACAAAGAACGGGACAAUACGUUGCAACCUCGAAAGAGGAAGCUAAUCGCGAAACCCGUCCAUAGUUAGGAUUGAGGGCUGUAACUCGCCCUCAUGAAUCUGGAUUCCGUAGUAAUCGCGGGUCAACAACCCGCGGUGAACAUGCCCCUGCUCCUUGCACACACCGCCCGUCAAACCAUCCGAGUUGGUGUUGGAUGAGGUUUAAUUCGAGAGGGUUAAAUCAAAUCUGAUGUCGGUGAGGAGGGUUAAGUCGUAACAAGGUAGCCGUA